GAUACAAAUACAGGAAAUAAAUCCUUCAAGACUUUUUUGAGGUCUGAUGAGCAAGCUAAAAACAACUGAUGAUAUAUGUCUGGCAUUGGACUCUGGAAAUGGAAGCAUGUUGCUCAUUACAUUCCAGCAAAUAAUAUGGAUCACUUUGGGUGUGUAAAGAAACCUUCAAUGAAAAAGAAAAGAAUGAAAAUAAAUGCAGCCAUCACCGUCCCCCUGGAUCGCUGCAGCGCCCACCACAGGGCAGUAGCGCCCACUUUGGGAAUCACUUGUUUAUAUUCUUGUUGCUGUAUGUUUGAAUAAAAAACUUUUAAAAACUAAACAAAUGUUGUUGAACUUUAUAUUCCAUCAUCCCUGACAACUGACCAGUCUUGUACAGCUGAUGUGCUCCUAAUACAAAAACUUCUCUACAGGGUCACAGGUUUCCAACCUAUAUUGGAGAUCCAGCCCAAAUUCAAGAAGGAAUAGCAGAGAUCUUGAAGUUUCCAAUACAUGAUUGGCAACUGUACAUAAUUUUUUUUUUCGUGUCAGGAGCAACCGGAGUUGCUUCUGGAGUGAGAGAAUUGGCCGUCUGCAAGGACGUUGCCCAGGGGAUGCCUGGAUGUUUUGAUGUUUUACCAUCCU
Molecule: long non-coding RNA, 621 nt
Filed under: Anolis carolinensis (green anole)
Lineage: Eukaryota; Metazoa; Chordata; Lepidosauria; Squamata; Anolidae
Description: lncRNA (ENSACAG00000040507.1)
Source: RNAcentral